Molecule: ribosomal RNA, 200 nt
Filed under: uncultured bacterium
Lineage: Bacteria
Description: partial 16S ribosomal RNA
Rfam family: Bacterial small subunit ribosomal RNA
Source: RNAcentral
AGAGUUUGAUCCUGGCUCAGGACGAACGCUGGCGGCGUGCUUAACACAUGCAAGUCGAACGAGAUCCUUCGGGGUCUAGUGGCGAACGGGUGAGUAACACGUGAGCAACCUGCCCUUGGCUCUGGGAUAGCCUCCGGAAACGGGGAUUAAUACCGGGUACGACCCCUGAUCGCAUGAUCGGGGGUGGAAAGUUUUUCGGC